GACGAACGCUGGCGGCGUGCUUAACACAUGCAAGUCGAACGGAAAGGCCCUGCUUUUGUGGGGUGCUCGAGUUGCUAACGUGUGAGUAACACGUGAGUCACCUGCCCUUGACUUUGGGAUCACUUCAGGAAACUGGGGCUAAUACCGGAUAGGAGCUCCUGCUGCAUGGUGGGGGUUGGAUAGUUUCGGCGGUUGGUGAUGGACUCGCGGCUUAUCAGCUUGUUGGUCGGGUAGUGGCUUACCUAGGCUUUGACGGGUAGCCGGACUGAGAGGGUGACCGGCCACAUUGGGACUGAGAUACGGCCCAGACUCCUACGGGAGGCAGCAGUGGGGAAUAUGGCACAAUGGGCGGAAGCCUGAUGCAGCAACGCCGCGUGCGGGAUGACGGCCUUCGGGUUGUAAACCGCUUUCGCCUGUGACGAAGCGGGAGUGACGGUAAUGGGUAAAGAAGCACCGGCUAACUACGUG
RNAcentral lists this ribosomal RNA (468 nucleotides) under uncultured bacterium. Its description in RNAcentral is "partial 16S ribosomal RNA". It matches the Rfam family "Bacterial small subunit ribosomal RNA", at positions 28 to 507 of the family's 1533-position model. The record is from RNAcentral.